RNAcentral lists this ribosomal RNA (465 nucleotides) under Vreelandella stevensii. Its description in RNAcentral is "partial 16S ribosomal RNA". It matches the Rfam family "Bacterial small subunit ribosomal RNA", at positions 338 to 795 of the family's 1533-position model. Lineage: Bacteria; Pseudomonadati; Pseudomonadota; Gammaproteobacteria; Oceanospirillales; Halomonadaceae. The record is from RNAcentral.
CCUACGGGAGGCUGCAGUGGGGAAUAUUGGACAAUGGGGGCAACCCUGAUCCAGCCAUGCCGCGUGUGUGAAGAAGGCCCUCGGGUUGUAAAGCACUUUCAGUGAGGAAGAACGCCUGGUGGUUAAUACCCAUCAGGAAAGACAUCACUCACAGAAGAAGCACCGGCUAACUCCGUGCCAGCAGCCGCGGUAAUACGGAGGGUGCGAGCGUUAAUCGGAAUUACUGGGCGUAAAGCGCGCGUAGGUGGCUUGAUAAGCCGGUUGUGAAAGCCCCGGGCUCAACCUGGGAACGGCAUCCGGAACUGGCAAGCUAGAGUGCAGGAGAGGAAGGUAGAAUUCCCGGUGGAGCGGUGAAAUGCGUAGAGAUCGGGAGGAAUACCAGUGGCGAAGGCGGCCUUCUGGACUGACACUGACACUGAGGUGCGAAAGCGUGGGUAGCAAACAGGAUUAGAUACCCCUGUAGUC